GAUGAGCGCUGGCGGCGUGCCUAAUACAUGCAAGUCGAGCGAACAGACGAGGAGCUUGCUCCUCUGACGUUAGCGGCGGACGGGUGAGUAACACGUGGAUAACCUACCUAUAAGACUGGGAUAACUUCGGGAAACCGGAGCUAAUACCGGAUAAUAUAUUGAACCGCAUGGUUCAAUAGUGAAAGACGGUUUUGCUGUCACUUAUAGAUGGAUCCGCGCCGCAUUAGCUAGUUGGUAAGGUAACGGCUUACCAAGGCGACGAUGCGUAGCCGACCUGAGAGGGUGAUCGGCCACACUGGAACUGAGACACGGUCCAGACUCCUACGGGAGGCAGCAGUAGGGAAUCUUCCGCAAGGGGCGAAAGCCUGACGGAGCAACGCCGCGUGAGUGAUGAAGGUCUUCGGAUCGUAAAACUCUGUUAUUAGGGAAGAACAAAUGUGUAAGUAACUAUGCACGUCUUGACGGUACCUAAUCAGAAAGCCACGGCUAACUACG
Molecule: ribosomal RNA, 495 nt
Filed under: uncultured bacterium
Lineage: Bacteria
Description: partial 16S ribosomal RNA
Rfam family: Bacterial small subunit ribosomal RNA
Source: RNAcentral